This 127-nucleotide long non-coding RNA is filed under the name Vulpes vulpes (red fox). Its description in RNAcentral is "JPX transcript, XIST activator conserved region 1 (ENSVVUG00000013803.1)". It matches the Rfam family "JPX transcript, XIST activator conserved region 1". Lineage: Eukaryota; Metazoa; Chordata; Mammalia; Carnivora; Canidae. The record is from RNAcentral.
AAAAACUUAUGAAGACCUAAGAUGGCAGCAUUCAUACUGAGGGAAGUUACUGCCAGCAUACCAGGUGGGGAAAGCAGUCGAUGAAUGUUCUGAGGAACGUACAGAAACUCACAAACUUUUGUUUUGC